UCUGCUAUCCUAUCUUCACAUGAAACAGACCUUAAACACGCGUGUAUGGCACCUACGGAUUGCUCUGUCAAAUUUCUUUUCAAUGCACAUCCUUCCUUUGGGGCUGAUUUUAGCCCUAUCAGCAAUCCUGCCUUGUUUCUGCCUUGGCACUGGACACAAAUCCAAAUCCCCGAGGAGCUUUCUGGCUCCUUAAGCGAUCUGUCACCUCCACGACCUCACAAUGUCACCUUCACAAAGGCCAGCACACUCUUCCCCUCUGAACACAGCAAAGAAACAAGUGUCUAAGGGGCUGGCAUCUGCUGCUGGGAUACUGUGGCACAGUGUGGCAGGAGAGGUCAAAACUACCACCAAAAAUGGUAAGGCACCAGUGACUGCACCACCACACCCAGCUGUGUGCUGUGCUCCCCUCUGCAGCCCAGAGCCAAGAAGUCGUGGCACAGCCUUUCUUCCAUCUCAACCUUCGCUCCUGCAAAGCCUUCCCUCUGCAAGCAGCACUCUGGUGAUAGUAACACCACUGUGUCAUCCACUCUUCAUUCCAUCCAGCGCUGGAAAUGCUGUUUCCCACCUGGGGCACUGCUUUGGGCGUGCAUAGCCCCACGACUUAAUGAAAUCUCCCUCAGCUGCAGAAAUGAAACUCCUGACCUCAUUACCCUGUGCUGACCCACCUACGAUUGCACCACAAGGCUUCGUAUGAAAUCCUCAAAUUUGCCUUAAUGCACUGUCACAGCCGUUUUUCUCACCACCGACGGCAUCAUUGAACUUUCACAACUAAAACAAAAAGAGGCCUGUUUCAAGAGAGCAACUGCUGCUAAAUAAUUAACAGCAGUAUUUUAAGCUAGAAGAAAAGAAUUAGCAUUGCUUUGGCCUUUGAAGUUCACGUCACUUGGCGUAACAUGGAACAGUCCCUCGCUACAUGACAGUGGGAAAGAUGGGAACUCAUAACUGUAAGGAACAAGCCCUUUUCCAGUAUGAGACAGGCAAAUCGAGGAGUAGCCUGCAGCUAAAAGGAGCACAGGCAGGGUCUGCGGUGUCAGUGUUUGACAGCACCACUCUUUUCAGAAAGAGUGGUCAGGCACUGGAACAGGCUGCCUAUGGAGGUGGUGGAGUCACUGUCCCUGGAGGUUCUCAAGGAAAUGGUAGAUGCAGUACUGAGUGACACGGCUUGUUUAGUGGGUAUGGUGGUGACGGGCUGUUGGUGGACUAGAUGAUCUUAGUGGUCUUUUCCAAGCUUAAUGAUUGUUGAUUCUAGGAAAUCAUCACACCCCCAGGUUCAGGAAGUCUUUGAGCUGCUGGCUGUGCUAAAAACAUUUGGAUGCUGGUAUACUGGUAAAGAUGAGGAAAUGAAAGCAGCAACUCCUUAGCAGCAUGAUCACUAUCCCUCUGAAUCAUUUAUUAUCUGACUGAUGCUCUUGUUAAGCAGCCAUGUAAGCCUAAACAUUCAGUUCUCCUGCAUGCUUGAGAAGUGUUGACCCUCCAAGAGGAGCUAGGCCUGGAGGGCUAACAAUAUGGAAACCCUGGAAAGGUUUGGCUCUCCUGUGCACACUUCUGACCCUGCCCAGGUUUCCAGCAGCAGGAGGGACGGGACCAACCCACCUUGACGUGUGGGUGCUUGGCACAGGUGGUGCCCCAGAUGCGGGCACAGCGCUCCUCCUUCCUGUGCUCAAAGUACUCAGGGUCCCUGAGGAUGGCCACCCUGUGCCCCGCGUAGCUGAGUGCCAGUGCCCCACAGCCCUCCAGCCGCUGCUUGUCCUGCGCUGAGAUUGGCAGCACAAUGGGGAUGCUCAGGUUGACGACACCAUCUGCAAAGAGAAGAGUGCAUGUCAGUGUCCUCCAAAGACCUAAAGCAGCAUCCUCUUGGCACUUGGGAUGGACUACAGAGGGUUGGUAGGAGAGGCUGGGGUGCACUGAGGCAUUCAGAGGCACAAAUUCUCCUGUUGAAGAGGAAGGCCAAGUUUUCUACUACUAUCUCAGGGACUCACCAUCAGUGACAUGAAUUUAUUCCCCGCCCAAUUUUUGUUCUGUGCUGUUAACAAAUGCCAACAUUAGUGGGCAAAGAAAGCUCCUUAUCGCAGUGUCAGAGAUGCCCCAAGGACACCUGGAGUAUCUCACUGUUCUCUUUUUCUCUCAGAAGGAUUUGUUCUUUUCCAGUAAGUUGUUUUAAAGUCUCUGCAGAGUUUCAAUGUUCUUGGUGAUCACAGCCCUGGCUAUAGCUCUCAUGUCCUCUUCCAGGACAACAACCUCCACUCAGACCUCUUCUACUUGGACACGCCAGCAUUAGCACACUGAGAUCAGUCUCUUUCAUGGGUUGCCAUUCAUGAACAAGAACAAACAGAUCACAAAUCACUGAUUCACUUUGCUUGGAUCUGACAGAAAUCACGUUGGACACCUGAGACCCUUAAUUGGAGGAUUUUGACUAUUUCGUUUAAUCUUUUUUAAAUGGUUCCAUUUGCUUUAAUUCCCGACCAGAUAUAAUUCGCUUGACAGGCAGCAAUUUUCAAGCACCUUGCUGAGUAAUUGGGUACCCAUAACUACUGUCACAUAUGAACCAAUCAACCAAUUAAAUAUAUGAAGUUAUUUGAAUAAUCUUAUUAAAUAUGUUAAUAUUUGAACAUUAAUUAAAUAUAAACAUUAUAUCUAUUUUAUACAUAACUAGCCAACGAUCAGUCAAUAAAGUCAGCAUGGAAAAAGCUGGAUUAUGAAACCCACAAACGACACUGAAGCUGAAGAUCUCCAUGUUCCACAUCCAAAUGCAAGAUGCCAAUAAAAAUCACUCCAGUGAAGGUGAGUAAUUACAAAAUGACUGGGAUUUUUGUGAGGACUGCUCAGUAGGAUGCAGGGUAAACAGCUGAAUCAUAAACAAGAUGUGGUUGUGUCCAGUCUUAAUAAUUUAAAUAGCAAAAAAAAUUAUAGCAGAAACUCUAAUUGUAGUGAUUUUCAUAUAACCUAAGGGUAGUUAUAUACGUACCAGCUACAGAGAGGUUCUUUCCUGGGAGAACACAAACAUAAUUAAGAUAAUUAACACUCACAGACACCCGUUACAUUUUGCAGAAUCAAAGCAACUCUGAAAACUUCAGCCCAGAUUUGCUCCUCAAAGUGUGACAAAAGCUACAAAAACAUGUGGGAACUGCUCCAGACACCCACCUGAAGACCCUGCUCUGUCAGUGCAGACCUCAGCACCAAGCUGCUGCCCUGCAUGACCGCGGCAGUAUCAGGGUCCUCAGGGAGGAGGGCAAGACUCCCCACAGGGCAUCCUGCACCAAGAUCCCAAACCCCUGAGGCUGGAGACCUCUGCUGGGUCUAAAACCCAAUGUGUGCACUGUGCGCGUGACAAUCACAUCUCUAUCUGAGACCUGGGACACAAAGAUCUACCACACCAGACUCGAGAACUGACCUGCACUGCUUGAAUAUAUUUGCCUCUUCCAGAGACAGAAACCCCUGGCUAAUUAAAGCUAAUUAACAGCUAAAUCCAAUUUAUUUUAGAGUAAGGUAACGGGGAAAUAUGAAAAUAAGAGAAGCAAAAUCAGACUCUGGCCUCGUUUCCAAGCAGCAGCUGCCCCCUGCUCCCACUUGAAAUUCAGCCUGAUGGCCUCCCCUGGUUUGAGGUUUGCAUCUUUAUUUACCCCAGGAGAACUCAGCACGGUAUGAGUCACACAUACGUAUGUUAUAUACAUACAUACAGAGUGAACACGAAGGUGGGCCCGUACCGUUCAGCAGCGUGCCAAAAUGGAUGACCUGCAGGUACUCUGCCUCGCGCAUGAAGCCCUUCAGUGGCGUGGCCCAGCCUUCGCUCAGCACUUGCACCCACUGCAGAUCCAGCUACAAAACAAACCCAGACAGCUCUCUGUCACCAAGUCAUGCUGCUUUUCCCUCCCAUCUGCUGCAAAAGCAGUCUCACUGCAUUACAUAAAGGAUGUUCCUAAAGGGGAAAAAGUGGCGUCGGUGUGAUGGUUUAGAUCAGAUGUUAGGAGGAAAUUCUGUAGUCAGACAGCGGUGAGGCACUGGGACAGGUGGUGAUGCCCAGAAAAGCUGUGGAUGCCUUAUCCAUGGAGGUGCUCAAGGCCAGGAUGGAAGGGGCCCUGAGCAGCCUGAUCUAGUGGGAGGUGUCCCUGCUCAUGGCAGCGGUUGGAACUGGAUAGGAUUUAAGGUCCUUUCCGACGCUAACCAUUCCACUAUCCUGCAAAUAAGGCACUGAACAAAACUUCUGCCCUUCAAACAGCAAAAGGACUGAGUUACAGAGCAGCAUUCAAACGAGAUGGUACCUUUGUGAUCUCCACGGACGGCAGUGCAUUUGCUUCAGCUCGGGCAGCAUCAAGUUUAUUUUUGGGUACAAACAGCUCAAAAACGUCCUUAACUGAUGCACAGGGCACAAUGUUCUGAAAGAGAGAGAGCGAUGGUAACGCUGGUUUUAAAUGCACAGCAAGAACCCAGAAUGUGAAGCCAGUUUACAAGCUGACAGUGGUGGUGGUAAAAAUAAGUGACCUACUUGUGUUUGCAGGAGCUCCACGACCUGCUGGAUGCAUUCAGACACUGACGCAAUGUUUGUCUUCAGCACCAGGUCAGGAGAUUCGGGCUUCUCGUAGUCUGAGUCAAUCCCUGUGAAUCCUAUUGACAAUUAAACCCAAACCAAACAUACUUAAUGUAAUAUUCCAUGCCCUAGAGUCCACACUACACAAACAAACAACGAGCAUUCAGCACUGUAAGUGACACUUGUGACAGUAAGACCAGGGAAAUAGGACACCCUUGUGCGCCACGAAGAGCCUCUACCAUCCCACCUUGUGAUUUUCUAUGUGCUCAGCACUGUUAAGUGACACUUGUGACAGUAAGAUUAGGGAAACAGGAUACCUUUGUGUGUCACAAAGAGCCUUUAUUAACCCACCUCGUGAUUUUCUAUGUGCAGAGCUGCAAAGAUUAGCUCUCUGAAGCUUUGGAAAGCAAAAGGCAAAUUAAGAGCUCAUUCUUCCAUACCUUUGAUCUCUCCGGCUCUUGCCUUUUUGUACAGGCCCUUCACAUCUCUGCUUUCACAAAUAUUUAGAGGAGCAUCUACAAAGAUUUCAAAGAAAGGCAACCCAGCAGCCUCAUGAAUUUUCCGUGCAUUCUGACGAUCCUGUGAGAAGAAAGGUGGGAAAAUGGCACAUGCUGCAUUGCAAUAAGCACCCUCCUGCUCUCUGACGUUUUCUGAAAUUUGACAGAGGCACACAGGACUGAUACACAGACCUUCCACAGGCAUCGCAGCACACUGCCCAUCCUUCAAAGCCUCCACUCCCCAAACCAGGUAGGAUUGUUUUGGUAUUUUUUUGUGUGCUAGUUGUUAGUUUGCUUUGCAGGGGGGAUGUCUUUUUGGGCAUUUGGAGCUUGCAAGCUGAGACAUCGCCAUUAUGGUCGAAUCCAUGCUUGUCCCCAGGGGUCUGGACUCCUGAAGCAGGACUAAAUGAGCACAUGUAGAAGGUUACAGCCACCAAAGAUAACCCCUGCUCACAAAACACAAAGGUAAAUGUUGCGGCUUUACUCCUCGCAGAGGUCUGGCACCACGGUGGGAGUGCCUAAACUCGCCCCUGUGCCUGCCCACCAUAGCUAUGUAAAUGCCCACCAUGCCAGCCCUGCAGAGAAGCUGCUCAGUGCAGCACGAUGCCCGAGCAGUAACUGCACAGCCCUCCAGUGCUCCAGCAUGCGGAACAGCACUUUUGCAAUUUAUCUGCAAAUGACAACAGAAGAGGCAGGUAUUUCAGCACAGAGAAAUGAAACCCACAUACUCAAAAUAUCCUUUCUACGCCCCUUUGCUGCCUGUGUCAGCAGGAACUCCGGCAGCACGCUGAUUUCCUUGCAACGUGGUUCUGCAAGGCGCUGAUCUACCCAGCACGGCAGGGACUACGAUAACGUCUGUGCUAUCACGUUCCUACCUGGCUGACAUCAUGAGGUUAUUAUCUUUAAAGCAGACGCUGCUGCAAAUCUGCACCAUGCACAUCUUGGAGCAGGUUUUUUUGUUCACACUAGCAUCUUCUGGAGCUUGGGAAAGCAACCCAGCAGCAAUUCCAGAUGUGGGUGGCACUCUUGCUCAUGGCAGGGGUUGGAGCUGGGUGGGCUUCAAAGUCCCUUCCAACCCGAGCCAGUCUGUGAUUCUAACUCUAGACCCCUCCUACCUGCUGGUACCAGAUCCCUCCUAUUUUGCUCCUAUGUUAUGAGCAAUUUCGCUGCUAAAGAGGUGAGGCAUCCCCAGCACCACACGUCUGAAACAGCAGGACUCACACCAACCCCAGUCCUUGCCAUCAGCUGCACAGGACGCUA
Molecule: long non-coding RNA, 6282 nt
Organism: Gallus gallus (chicken)
Lineage: Eukaryota; Metazoa; Chordata; Aves; Galliformes; Phasianidae
Exons: 3
Source: RefSeq, a predicted model, not a curated record